UUUCUGUUUGGAUGGCCCAUCUUCAUGAGGACUUCUCCAUUGGAGCCCUGCCAGCAUAUGAUCAGCUUGUUGCAUUGGUGAUGGUCUUUGACGUUACUGAUCUCUCAUCUUUUGUUGCGCUUAAAGAUUUUGUCUCCCGCACUGACAUCCUCAAGUUUGAGAUUUUGUUAUGCAUUGGCAACAAAGUGGACCUUCUUCCUGGUCAUUCGGCUCAUGUUGAAUACAGGCAGCUCCUGUUGAAAAGUGCAGACUCCUCUGGUAGCCCUUAUUCAGAAAUGGAUUCUGGAAUUUCUGAAACAGAAGGAAGCAGUCUACUAGGAGAUGAUGACUCAUCAUUUGAUGCUAAAAGGUCCUACUUGGAAUGGUGCCUCGA
RNAcentral lists this unclassified non-coding RNA (373 nucleotides) under Hevea brasiliensis (rubber tree). Lineage: Eukaryota; Viridiplantae; Streptophyta; Magnoliopsida; Malpighiales; Euphorbiaceae. The record is from RNAcentral.